CAGUCGCCACGGUAAUACGUAGGGUGCAAGCGUUAAUCGGAAUUACUGGGCGUAAAGCGUGCGCAGGCGGUUUUGUAAGACAGAGGUGAAAUCCCCGGGCUCAACCUGGGAACUGCCUUUGUGACUGCAAGGCUGGAGUGCGGCAGAGGGGGAUGGAAUUCCGCGUGUAGCAGUGAAAUGCGUAGAUAUGCGGAGGAACACCGAUGGCGAAGGCAAUCCCCUGGGCCUGCACUGACGCUCAUGCACGAAAGCGUGGGGAGCAAACAGGAUUAGAUACCCCCGUAGUCCCUGUCUCUUAUAA
RNAcentral lists this ribosomal RNA (301 nucleotides) under uncultured bacterium. RNAcentral describes it as "partial 16S ribosomal RNA". It matches the Rfam family "Bacterial small subunit ribosomal RNA", at positions 509 to 809 of the family's 1533-position model. The record is from RNAcentral.